AUGGCUCUGCAGAAACUCUUCUAUAUCUCAAUUUUCCUGCUAGUAUGCACAGCCACGGAAAUCAACCCAGAAGCAGAGGCACUACUCCGAUGGAAGUCCAGUUUGAUCCGCGCCGACUCGCUGUCCUCCUGGUCGGUUGCCAACUCUACAUGUUCUUGGUACGGUGUCACCUGUGACACUGCCGGACAUGUUACUGAGGUCCAACUUCGUAGUGCGGGGAUCAAUGGUACGCUACACGCCUUCUACUCUACAGUGCUUCAAAACCUCACAGUGCUUGACCUUGGGGCAAAUAACCUUGGUGGUGUUAUCCCAGCAAAUAUAUCUUUGUUUCUAACCCUCACCGUUAUGAACUUGAGCAGCAACAAUCUUGUUGGUGUCAUCCCCUACCAACUCAGCAAGCUACCAAUAAUUAUCAAAUUAGAUUUGGGAAAUAACAAGCUUACCAACCCAGAAUAUGCCAAUUUCUCACCUAUGUCCACUUUAAAGCUGUUAUCUCUAGCUAAUAACAAUCUCAGUGGUACCUUCCCACAAUUCAUCCUCAACUGCACCCAUGUGAGGAUGAGGUUCCUCGAUUUAUCAGGUAACGCCUUCACAGGGCCGUUACCAGAUUCACUGCCGGAGAUUGUACCAAGGUUGAGGUAUCUAAAUCUGUCCAUUAAUUUAUUCUCUGGCUCCAUACCUUGCUCACUCUCAAGGCUCCAAAAGCUAGAGAUACUAACACUCAAGAGAAAUAAUCUCACAGGAGGAAUCCCAGAGGUGCUGGGGAUGAUACCUGGACUCCGAUAUCUUUCACUAUCCGUUAACCCACUUGGUGGGUCAAUUCCAGCCUCACUCGGUCAGCUUCAGUUGCUGGAGACGCUCGGCCUCGGAUAUGCUAGCUUGGUUUCUACUAUUCCACCUGAACUGGGAAACCUUACUAGCCUCCGUAUUCCGCAAGAGAUGUUUACAAACUGGACCAAGCUCAAGCAUUUUGAUGUAAGCGACAACUUGUUAGCUGGAAGCAUCCCUUCUCAGAUCAGCAAGUGGAAGGAGCUACUGUGUCUCCUCCUUUCCCGCAACAACUUUACUGGCUCGAUCCCGGUGGAGGUUGGCAGCAUGCCAAAUUUGCAAGCAUUGGACUUGUCGAAGAACCACCUCACUGGAAUUAUGCCAUCAAAUAUCGGUAAUGCAUCAUCUUUGAAACUCCUUCGUGCCAGCUUCAACCAUCUUGAGGGUGAGAUUCCUGCAACCAUCUCCUCGCUGGUAAACCUUGUUGCUCUCUUCUUGUCUGACAACAAGUUUACGGGUAUCGGUCCUAAUCUUGACAGCAAGCAGUUGCCAGUUGUCAAAGUGGCCAAGAAUAGCGGGUUCCUGGGAAAACCAUUGUAUGUCUUUUGUCAACUAACACUUCUGCGAAUCUUGGAUCUAUCGAACAAUCAGUUUUUGAGAGAUCUACAAUUCUUGGAUUUGUCGAGCAAUGCUUUUGCUGGGGUAGUUCCAACCUCAGCUAACUGCAAUUCGUCGCUAAGUUUGUUGCACUUGUCCAACAACAAGUUCACAGGUUGCUUUCCAGCAGUGUUGAAGAACUUCAAAAGCCUUGUUAUUUUGGAUCUUGGGAACAAUAAGAUGUCU
Molecule: ribosomal RNA, 1611 nt
Filed under: Triticum aestivum (bread wheat)
Lineage: Eukaryota; Viridiplantae; Streptophyta; Magnoliopsida; Poales; Poaceae
Description: partial small subunit ribosomal RNA
Source: RNAcentral